UACAGGAGGCCCGAGCGUUAAUCGGAAUCACUGGGCUUAAAGGGUGCGUAGGCGGACAUGAGGGUGUGCUGUGAAAUCCCUUGGCUCAACCAAGGAAUUGCGGCGCAAACCGCAUGUCUUGAGGCGGGUAGGGGUCGCUGGAACGCUCGGUGGAGCGGUGAAAUGCGUAGAGAUCGAGCGGAACGCCAAUGGUGAAGACAGGCGACUGGGCCCGUCCUGACGCUGAGGCACGAAAGCGUGGGGAGCAAACAGG
RNAcentral lists this ribosomal RNA (253 nucleotides) under uncultured bacterium. RNAcentral describes it as "partial 16S ribosomal RNA". It matches the Rfam family "Bacterial small subunit ribosomal RNA", at positions 524 to 776 of the family's 1533-position model. The record is from RNAcentral.